This 440-nucleotide ribosomal RNA is filed under the name uncultured bacterium. Its description in RNAcentral is "partial 16S ribosomal RNA". It matches the Rfam family "Bacterial small subunit ribosomal RNA", at positions 338 to 795 of the family's 1533-position model. The record is from RNAcentral.
CCUACGGGGGGCAGCAGUGGGGAAUAUUGCACAAUGGGGGAAACCCUGAUGCAGCGACGCCGCGGGAGUGAAGAAGUAAUUCGUUAUGUAAAGCUCUAUCAGCAGGGAAGAAAAUGACGGUACCUGAGUAAGAAGCCCCGGCUAACUACGGGCCAGCAGCCGCGGUAAUACGUAGGGGGCAAGCGUUAUCCGGAUUUACUGGGUGGAAAGGGAGCGUAGACGGCAGUGCAAGUCUGGAGUGAAAGGCGGGGGCUCAACCCCCGGACUGCUCUGGAAACUGUACGGCUGGAGUGCAGGAGAGGUAAGUGGAAUGCCUAGUGUAGCGGUGAAAUGCGUAGAUAUUAGGAGGAACACCAGUGGCGAAGGCGGCUUACUGGACUGUAACUGACGUUGAGGCUCGAAAGCGUGGGGAGCAAACAGGAUUAGAUACCCUAGUAGUC